GUACGGAGGGAUUGGGGAAUUCGCGCCUUCGGUCGCUCCUUCAGGGGGGGCCGUUCCUCAGCGCCCGCCCCGCACGGGUACCGUCCUACGUAUUACCCGCUUUGCGCAUGGACAGAUUCGUGGUUAAACGUUCUGCUGAGGAACCCGAGGGUGAUGGCAAGAGGCCCCGGUUGGAGGAGGCGGCGGGCGGCCUGCCUCAUCCUUCACAGCCCAGUCAGGAGAUCCGCGCCCAGGGCCUGAGCCUCGAGUACCGUCUGCUCUUCGGCCGGGCCGAGGCUGACGAGAUCUUCCAGCAGCUGGAAAAGGAGGUGGAGUACUUCGAAGGUGAACAGACGAAGUUGCAUGUGUUUGGCAAGUGGCAUAACAUCCCCAGAAAGCAGGUAACCUACGGAGACCCUGAGUUAACAUACACUUACUCAGGUGUCACCUUCUCUCCUAAGCCGUGGAUCCCAGUUCUCAAUCACAUCAGAGAUCGCCUUGUUUUGGAAACAGGACAUACUUUUAAUUUUGUUGUUAUUAACAGAUAUAAAGACGGCGAGGACCACAUAGGUGAACAUCGAGAUGAUGAGAAGGAGCUGGUUCCACGCAGCCCUAUUGCAUCAGUGACCUUUGGAGCCUGCAGAGACUUUGUUUUCAGGCACUGUGAUUCCAGAGGGAAGAAUGCAACACGGCACAUUAAGCCCAUCAGACUGCAGCUAGCCCAUGGCAGCCUGCUGAUGAUGAAGUACCCCACUAACGUGUACUGGUACCACAGCCUGCCCAUCCGCAGGAGAGUGCUUGCUCCAAGAAUCAAUCUGACAUUUCGGAAAAUGAUGGUUGUUGACAAAAAAGUGAGAUAGCAAUGAAGCACCUGGUCCAUAGACCCUGAAUACGGAAGUUUUCGUCCUCAAUAUAGCUGUCAGUUUCUCAAUCAAGCUGUGUUUGAUGAUCCAAGGCAUUAAACCAGAAGAUAGCAUGCUUGGGAAUCCAUUCUGACUACCUGAAAGCCAUUCCCAUCCGUGCUCCAUCCUACUGAAAUGAGGAAAGUGCGUUCAAAGUGUCCACCAGGUCUUAAGGAAUCAAGCAAUGGCCUCAACUCCAAACUCUGGUGCUGUACCCUUGAGUGAACGCGCUCAUAGAACAGCAGGUAAGCACUAGAGGAAAGGACCUCCUGCAAACUAGCUUUGCGAACAGUGUCAUCUGAAAUCCAUAACCACUGAUUGCUGACAGAGAGCGGGCUCUUGGAAGAAGGCGGAGAGCGGCGGUAAGUCACAAAGUGUCCAGAAUGCAUGUCUCCAUGGUGCACAACCACCGCCAUCAGCCGGUACAGGUACACGGGGGGACUGAGAGAGAGAGGAGAAAAAGGGUCAGCAGACCUGUGUGUCACACGUGGACCUAAAGCAGCUCCAGUUGCUUUGUCCUGACCUGCAAUCUCUUUCCGGAGCAAGUAAUUGUCUCUAAGAGACGUGCUGCUUUGCAGUUACUUCUUGUUAUUCUAAGUCUUUUUGUUAUUUUAAGUGCUGCCUGAUUCUACUGAAGAAAGCAAACCAUUCAUUUUAAAGGUUUAAUGCACCAGACAGCUACCACAUCUUGCCCAGUGUAACUGCCUGAAUUGUGUACAAAUGUUUCCCAUCAAACCAGCGUUUAGUUCUUGCAGCACUGCUCCUGGACAGAAAAGUUAUUCUAGAAAAAUGUGAUUCUUAAAAGUGGUCAAAUUAUGGUGGGUAAUCCAUAGAUAACUACAGGUAUACUUUAAGGACUUGCUCUACAACUGUCUACAUAACAAAUGUUUGGCACAGAGUGUUUCUUCACUUCUCAUUUCCUAAAGUGAUUGUAGGAAAUGUGCUCCCUAUGGGAUAAUAACCAACAGUUCUGUAACGGAACGUUGGCCGCGGGACUGAAAAGAAGGGAACUUUCUCAAAAACAAAUCAGCAUCAUAAGCAUCAAGACUGGAUUUAUUAAGUAGAAUCAUGGCAGCUGCAAUUGAGAUUGUUAAAUAGAACUCUUACGGAUUUUUUUUCCAAUAUUGUAAGAAUUUCUUGCAGGAGUUUAAAGAAACCAAACAACUCUCGUGGCAAUAGUUACAAGUCAAAGAAGGGGUAGUAGGAUAAACAGCAUGAAUGAGAAUAUGGCAAUCCAGAAGGAUGACUGCUGCAUACUGAACCAAAAAAAGGAGAUUCCAAGUUCUCCCUGUAAUAAGCUAAACUCCCUUUCUUAGUAGGAGAGAAAUGGAGCCAAAGACAAUUAGCAAGGAAAAGAGAAAACAGUUUCCUGCACAGGAACUACGAUAGAUGUUAAGUUCUACGACUACACAGCCUUUUGAUAAAGACAGUAAAGGAAAACAUAAUUCAGAUGGACAGAAAUAUAGACAGGGUACACAUCUCACCUACCUGCAUUCAGGGAAUGCAGUGAGUGGAAAAGUUCCCGAGGACAUUAAGAGUGAAGAAGAGCAGGCCCCAUUCAUAAGGAGAGAUUUGGUACCACGUGUCUGUUCUGCAUCUGCAAAACAAAAUUGGUAAUUUAACUUAAAUGCUACCACAAGCAUUGCUAACUGCUUCUGUUUCUACAGCGUCUGUCAUCACAGAAUGUAAAGGUAGUUUGCUUAUUUUAAUUCAUUACAUAUCACAGUCCCUUGAUAUCUAAAGACAAGAGGUAAAUACAGGUAAAUACCUGAAGGUUUUACUGAUAUCCCAUCCCUUGUUCCAGGCUUUGUCUCUUCGGAGCUUUUCUGAUUCAGAUCGUUCUGAGUUGAUUUAUGAACAGGAAUGUGGUAUUUGUAGAUGUCCAUGAUUAGGAACUCAUUGAACUGUACGUGUUCGUGACGUUUCAGAGGAGUCCCUUGGUUGGACCAGCUCAGUCUUUGCAGAUGGAUACACAAACACUGAGGGAGCUUCAAAGUUCCAUACAAAAGAGAAGUCAAAAUACAUUUUAAGUGAAGAGAAACAGCUGCUAAAAACAUUCUAAUGGAACUGAAUGAGUCCCUUCCGCCUGAAUCUGAAAUCAAAGGGAAAACAGACGUUUGAUUACUUCCUGUAUAAAAUACAAACAAUAAUCCUGCUGCAGGUUGGCAUGCUGCAUACCAAGCUAUCCUUGGGACCUGAAUUUCUUCUACAGUUUUCCUCUCUCAAGAGCUGUUGGCCUAUUCCAAUGGAUCCAUGUUUUAACACAAAAUUGAGCAGAAAUAGCUCUUAGAAAACAAACCUAGUUUACAUGCAGCCAUUUCUGUUAGGUUUCAAACAAUCCAUUUUGGCUCUCUAUCAUCAAAGUACAGGCAAAUAUAAUGUUUCAAAAUGGGACUUCUUUUUUUUCUUUUUUUGUUCUUCUAAAUAUCUAAAUACCAAAUAAAGCAUUUGUAAAUUUUUAUUACGUUAACAAUAAAUAAAGCUUCAAAAUA
This is a non-coding RNA of Meleagris gallopavo (turkey), 3373 nucleotides long. NCBI's taxonomy places the organism in Eukaryota, Metazoa, Chordata, Aves, Galliformes, Phasianidae. The record is from RefSeq and is a predicted model, not a curated record.